GAUGAACGCUGGCGGCGUGCCUAAUACAUGCGAGUCGAGCGAACAGACGAGGAGCUUGCUCCUCUGACGUUAGCGGCGGACGGGUGAGUAACACGUGGAUAACCUACCUAUAAGACUGGGAUAACUUCGGGAAACCGGAGCUAAUACCGGAUAAUAUAUUGAACCGCAUGGUUCAAUAGUGAAAGACGGUUUUGCUGUCACUUAUAGAUGGAUCCGCGCCGCAUUAGCUAGUUGGUAAGGUAACGGCUUACCAAGGCGACGAUGCGUAGCCGACCUGAGAGGGUGAUCGGCCACACUGGAACUGAGACACGGUCCAGACUCCUACGGGAGGCAGCAGUAGGGAAUAUUCCGCAAGGGGCAAAAGCCUGACGGAGCAACGCCGCGUGAGUGAUGAAGGUCUUCGGAUCGUAAAACUCUGUUAUUAGGGAAGAACAAAUGUGUAAGUAACUAUGCACGUCUUGACGGUACCUAAUCAGAAAGCCACGGCUAACUACGUG
This 497-nucleotide ribosomal RNA is filed under the name uncultured bacterium. Its description in RNAcentral is "partial 16S ribosomal RNA". It matches the Rfam family "Bacterial small subunit ribosomal RNA", at positions 28 to 507 of the family's 1533-position model. The record is from RNAcentral.